GACAAGGAACAGUCAGUGCCCAGCGGAGCUCCCUGCAGGAAACAUCAAGGAGAGAGGUCUAAACUCAGUGUGACAGAAAAUACUUGAUCUUCUCUCAGGCACAGCUGUACUAGUAGGAUAGAAAGCCACAUGACUAGAAUUCCAUAGAAGCCCAACAGGAGCACUGAGGUUAAAGUGCAGUAUAUGUGCAGCAUAUGCAUGUGUGUUUGGAAUUGAUCAGAAAAUGCUCUGCAGCUGGAUGACUUCAGCGCCACUGAAGCUGUGUAUAACAAAACAACAGAAAAGGAGUCAGGGAGGAGAAAAGAACAAUAACGUGGAGAAACUCAUCCUUUUUUCUUCUACCUCUGAGUGGGGGUUGGUGUCUCUCUAGGAAUCAAGGUGCUCGAGUUCCCUUGAGGCAAAAGAGAAUAAAUUGCCAGUAGCAGACAAGGUGAAUGCAAUUGUGUAUAAGGUGGGUGAAUAGAAGAAUCUCUUUGUGAUUGCUUUCAAAACCAUCAAGGGGGUCUGAAAUAGGGCAGCCAAAGGGUAUAUUUUUCACUUUACAUAAUUUUUUUUGUGGCUGUGUAAUUUUCAUGUAAAAUUUAUAAUGUUGUAUGUUCAAAAUAGAUGAUGAAACCUGCUUUGCAAAUUACAAUGCGUCUAUCAUUAGAUACUAUGAUUCACUGUGUUACUACGAUUCACUUAGCUCAAUUCUUAAGGAAAAUCAUAGGCAGUGAUUUGGAAAAGCUCCCCCUCUACAGCAGAAACACAAUAAUUUCUUUCCAAGUAAGAGCUGUUAAAUAUGUAGCCAAUGCAUCAUUUGCAUAUUAAUAGUGAAAGUAUUCUGAUAAAUUACAGUUUUCUGUCUUUUUAAAUCACGCAUAUAGCUCUUGAAUGUUGUAUAAUAUUAUCACUGGAUCAUAGAGAUUUUCAGCUUUAUCUAAUAUAAUUUGUUAUAAGC
Molecule: long non-coding RNA, 940 nt
Organism: Zonotrichia leucophrys gambelii
Lineage: Eukaryota; Metazoa; Chordata; Aves; Passeriformes; Passerellidae
Exons: 4
Source: RefSeq, a predicted model, not a curated record